This 662-nucleotide long non-coding RNA is filed under the name Homo sapiens (human). RNAcentral's name for it is "HSALNT0129066". Lineage: Eukaryota; Metazoa; Chordata; Mammalia; Primates; Hominidae. The record is from RNAcentral.
GAUCUGAGGCAUAAUGAAGGAAGUCAGCUAGGAAUGGGGAAGAAGGAAGCUAAUCUAAUGCGAGGAAUCCCUGGAGGAGGUGGCACCUGAGAUGACUUUCAGGUGAGCAGGUAUCAGCCAGAGGAAACCAGGAGGAAGGGAGAAGAGACGUGCGCAGACACAGGCUGGGGCAGAGGAGUGGGCUUAGCGGCCUCCUGAGACAUGAGCUGGAACCUGGAAAAUGAGGAGCCAUGAAAGAGCUUUAAUGAGAGAAAGACAAUGACAUCUACGCUUUAGAAGGAUCGGUCUGGAGACAGCAGAAGGGCUUAUCGGAAGGUAGUGACUCUGUAGUCAAAGAGAUAGCAAAGUACAGAUUUGAGAGAUGCCACAACAGACGCAUUAAGCCCUGGAGCUGGAAUGAUAUGCACACUGAGAGAGUGAGGGAGUGAGGUCCUUGCUGAAGACCUUUAAAAUGAGUUUAUUUCACCCAGAAGCUCCAGCAAGGGACACACUCACUGCCUUGUGCUGGCCACGAGGUGGCAGCCUCGCACAGCCAUUUUAGCAGAAAAUGCGUCCCAUCCUCACCGGCGCUCACCACCACGUGGGCAGAGCCACUAAAAAAAUUCCACCACGGGGACAGGAGCUCUCUGAGCUUGCCCCAUAAACACGCUUUUCUCCCACAG